RNAcentral lists this long non-coding RNA (841 nucleotides) under Callithrix jacchus (white-tufted-ear marmoset). Its description in RNAcentral is "lncRNA (ENSCJAG00000076050.1)". Lineage: Eukaryota; Metazoa; Chordata; Mammalia; Primates; Cebidae. The record is from RNAcentral.
GUCAAGGUCACUGGGACUAUGGUGUUCAGAGAAGCACUAACCAGAGAGAUAUAUUUGAAACCGAACCCAGUUGGAAGUGUAGGAUUUGGAUAGGUAAAGAAGAGGAGAGAGGACAUGAGUAGUGGGAGGAAAGGCAUUAGAAAAGAAUGUGGAGGUGGAGGUGUGUUGACAUGCCAGUGAAGAUGCCACUGUGACUGGCAUGGAAGGUUUUUGUAGGGGAGUAGUGUGUGUCACUUAAGCCAAAAGGAAGACCUGGAGUUCAUAUGCUGAAUUUAAACCAUUAUUUUUGACUCUCUUAUUACAGUUUGGUGUUUAUCCCAUCACAGCUGCUUUUCUGUUAUUGUUCUAUUCAUUUUGACUUUAACUAGAAAUUAUAUGGGAUAAGGAGGUUUUAGGCAAUAAAUAGCUAAUAUUUUGGUGUAUUGAUUUUUUUUUUAAAAUGUACUGCAUUUUAUUACAUAGAAAUAUUCUUAGUAUAAUUACAUAUGUGUGUGUGUGUAUAUACACACACAAAUAUAUAUAUAUAUAUACACACACACACACACACACAUAUAUAUAUUUCUUUUUUUUAGACAGAGUCUCGCUCUUGUACCCCAGGCUGGAGUGCAAUGGCAUGAUCUUGGAUCACUGCAACCACCACUUCCAGGCUUCAAGCUAUUCUCCUGCCUCAGCCAGUGUAUUGAUUCUUGAAGAUCCCUCAAGACUGGGACCAGCUAUAAUCAGGAAUGAUCUAGGAGGCUGACAAUGGAUUCUAGUGCUGGAUCUGCCCCUUGCUAACGUUUGUGAGUAAGCAAUUAACGUUGCUAAGCCUCCCUUGCCUCAGUUAUGUAAAGAAGAUAGC